RNAcentral lists this long non-coding RNA (1205 nucleotides) under Cricetulus griseus (Chinese hamster). Its description in RNAcentral is "lncRNA (ENSCGRG00015034109.1)". Lineage: Eukaryota; Metazoa; Chordata; Mammalia; Rodentia; Cricetidae. The record is from RNAcentral.
GUAGGGAACAGAACUGUCUUUCGCAAUACAGUCAGAAGAUGUCGAGAAAGACAGGCACUUGGGUCAGGGAUGUGCUUCUGAUACUGGAUGUAGUUGGCAGUUUGGGUGCUAGACAGUUUGGCAGAGCCCGAGGGAGAGAAGUGGCUCAGCCAAGGUGCCUGUUAUUCCUAAGAAAACCUGUAGAAGAGUUGCUGGGAAGCAGUCUCUAUACUCCGCAGAUGAUACCCACAGUUAUAUGAAGGAGAGGGGCCAUCACCGCUUCCUUUACCAACGCAGAUGGUCUGUACUUCGACUUGGGGAUCCGGGGAGACGAACUUCACCGUCCUCCCCUAGAAAAGUAGAAGCGGGUACUAGGUCUUUAUAUAAGGACAGGUUGGGCAGAAUAGAAUAAAUGUUUUCUUCGCUUUACCAUGAUGUUUAAUCAGAACACAGCUAUAGGCAACAAAUGCUGUCUUCUGCUAGACAGAGAGCACAACACCCCGUUGGUGUUUAAAAUAAAGAGAAACAAAUAAUUGUCCCAUUGUUAAUAGUCCCAAGCCAGAGAAUUGAGGGCAUACUCUGGCUAAAGGUAUUGUGAGCAUUGUGGUGGCAAACAAAUAGUUGUGAGCCACUUCCACCCCCAAAGGCAUAAAGCUUCAGCAACGUAAGUGACAUAUUCCCAGGGAGUUUCCCUUUUCCUUCAUGCCUGAUUCAAUUCUUGUCUAGUGUCUUUGGCUCUUCAUUAGUGACCCAUCCUCUACCAAGCACCCUGUUCAGCCUCCCUGAAGCCACUGUGUGCACAAAUCCAAAAAGUUUCAAAGGAAGCUUUUAACAAGAUGCAGCUGAGCGUGUCGAUAUCUUACAUCUUCUUACUGUUGUGUGAGCAGUUCAGCUAUUUGAAGCUUCUCGCUCUUCAGACAAGCACUGGCACCUUCCAGAGACAGUGUUCCCAGGCUUGAUUUACACUUGAUUUACAACUAUCCUCUGGUGUGCUCUGGAAAAACAUGGGACAUUGCAAGUGAAGGAAGAAUGGGUGAUGAAUGAAGUCCCUUCCUCCUCCUACCCCCCAAAAGCACACAGUAUGAGCUCACUGUGAUAGCUUCGUGUAAUGUGUACAUGUUUUUGUUACUGAUAUUGUGAUGCAAACAGGAUUGAGACUGGACUAAGGCUCUUAGGAUGAUUGCACCAAGUCUUAGGAUUUAAGGCAGUUUAUCUCCCGACCUAUC